Long non-coding RNA from Antechinus flavipes (yellow-footed antechinus), 5262 nucleotides. RefSeq lists it as uncharacterized. Lineage: Eukaryota; Metazoa; Chordata; Mammalia; Dasyuromorphia; Dasyuridae. The record is from RefSeq and is a predicted model, not a curated record. The transcript has 5 exons.
GGCAGCUGGAGCGGCGGUUCCGGGCUCCCUUACCCCUGGCGCCGCAGAAUUUGGGGAACCCUCCCUCCUGAAGGUUCUUGGCUUUGUUCACUUUGCUCCGGAAAUCCUCCCUUUGCGGGGCGAGCACUGGGUGCUAGCUCUCCCCAAGCCCUCUCUAUACUUUCGUGCUGAUUGGGUGGUCCGAGGGAGAGACGGGGAAGGAAGCGAGCCGGCGCUGGCCCUGCGCUCCCGGGCGCUGGCGCUAUCUCCCGGGCGCUGGCGCUGUCUCCCGGGCGCUGGCGCUGUCUCCCGGGCGCUGGCGCUGUCUCCCGGGCGCUGGCCCUGCUCUCCCGGGCGCUGGCGCUGUCUCCCGGGCGCUGGCGCUGUCUCCCGGGCGCUGGCCCUGCUCUCCCGGGCGCUGGCCCUGUCUCCCGAGCUCCGGCACGGACCGUCCUGUGCCCUGAAUGCGCGCUGCUCACAUGCUUGUUAAGUCCCUUAGCAGAUCCUGCGGGGGCCGGGAGCGAUAAAGCCUCGAUCCUUCGCUACCCAGGGAUUAAUAAAUCAAUGUCAAUUAGCCUCCCACAAUUUAUGGUUGCCCCAAGCUUGCAUUGGAACUGCCGGCUACCAGGCCAGGUGCCUCUGGUACUCCUGUCAGAGAGGUCAGUCAGCAGGCCCAGAUGCACUAACUCGCAGCCAGAAACGGCGGCCUCGAGGCUAACCAGAUUCUGCUCCUCAGUAAAACAGUGGUUUGGACGCGUGACCCCUCACGCUCAGAAGCUGUGGUCAGUGUCCUACCCGCGCUGCAGGCUGUCCGACAUGUUCAAGGCCCUGUAGCUUAGACUAGUGCUUAGUGGUGAACCCCAAGGUCAAGGCCAGGGAUCUUAGGCUUGUCAUCUGUGUGACCUUGGGCAUGAGAAUACUCUCUGGUCUGUCCCAUUUCCUCAUCUGCCCAGUUGGGGCGGAUGAUCUUUAAAGUCACUUCCAGUUCUGUAACUUAUUUCUUGAGUCCCCUUAUGGGUAAAAUUGUAGAGAAAAACGUCCUUUUUCUUUUUUCUUUCAUAUUCCCUUCUUUCCAUAAAUCACUCUCCUCUUUUCCAAGAUAGGAAAGUAUGUUGGCUGUUCCCCCACCUGUCAAGAAAUGGAGGGAUCUCACCAACUCAUUCGUGCCAAGGUUAUUAGGGACUGAGUGUACUGUCUGUCCUCGGAGUGUUUGCAUUUUAACACUGGUGCUGCCAUUGAUUCAGUUGUAGACAAUGAACCAGACUUGGCAAUGAAUUGGAAGUGGGACUUGAGGGAGUAGGAAGAGGCAAAGAUGAACCAGAUGGCUGAGAAGAAGGGACACCAGAAAUGCAUAAGCGCAUCAUCUCCCUGUCUGCAGACCUAAUUCUAAUGUCUUUUCCAACCUCUUCCCAUAUUAAAGCUGCCUGUGGGCAUCUCACAUUUGCCUUGUCUGGAACAGAAGUCAUUGAGCUUCCUUCCCAGACUCUUGGUUACCCCAAAGCAUUCUAUUUCUUUUUUUAUUAUAGCUUUUUAUUUACAAGUUAUAUGCAUGGGUAAUUUUUUAGCACUGACAAUUGCAAAACCUUUUGUUCCAGUUUUUCCCCUCAUUCCUCCCACCCCCUCCCCCAUAUGGCAGGUUGACCAAUACAUGUUAAAUAUGUCAAAGUAUAAAUUAAAUACAAGUAUACAUGUCCAUACAGUUAUUUUGCUGCACAAAAAGAAUCGGACUUUGACAUAGUGUACAAUUAACCUGUGAAGGAAAUAAAAAAUGCAGGCGGACCAAAAAAAAGGGAUUGGGAAUUCUAUGCAGUGCAAACCAUCCUAUUUCUGUUGAUGAUACUUUAAACUUCCCAGUCACCCUUGGGGUCAGAACUUCAACUCAUCUUUACUGUUUCCCUUUCCAUUGAACCUUCUUUCCAGUGAGUUGUCAAGUUUUGUCCAUCGCAAUACAAUCUUUAAGGUAGGUCAGGCUUUGAUCACCUCUCUCACCUGGACUAUCAUCUAGCCUUCUCCCUGGUUUCCUCUGACAUUGCAGACUUUUCAAAACCUGGCUCCUUUUUCUAAAUUUCCGUUUUUUCCAUUCCCUGAUGUCUCUCCCUAGCACAUUUCACUUUCCUGUCUUGAUGUCAGUGGCUGGGAGCCAUGCUUGUGGUUAUCUGCCCACUCAUUUCUCCUUCUUAGUUUUCCUGGCUUCCUCCAAGGCCCAGCUCCAAGCCCAUCUUUCCUGGAGGUCUUUCCUGGUCUUCCCAGAUACAAAUGCUCUCCCUUUUCAGAUUACCUUCCAUCUAUGCUGGGACAGCUAAAUCAAGCAAUGGAUAGAGCACUGGGCCUGGAGUCAGGAAGACCUGAAUUCAAAUCCAUCUUAGACACUAGCUGUAUGACCCUGAGCAAAUCACUUAAUCCUGUUUGCCUCAGUUUCCUCAUCUGUAAAAUAAGCUGGAGAAGGAAAUAGCAAAUCAUCCAGUACCUCUGCCAAGAAAACCCAAAAUGGGGUCACAAGAGUCAGACGUGACUAAAGAACAAAAACAAUGCUGGAUCUAUCUUGUUUGUGCCUAGUAGUUUAUGUACUCUCCCUCAUGUUAGUAUGGAAGUUCUUUGAAGUCAGGGACUACGUCUCUUCCCUUGCUUUGUAUCCCCAGUGCUUAACACAGAGAUUGAAUUGUAAGAAGUACUUAAUAAAUGCUCCUUAGCUUUUUGCCUCCUUAAUGUUCCUAAAACCCAGACCUCAGUUGCUUGGAACAGGGAUGGGUCUGGGGAGGAAACAUGAGCUCUGUUUCAAACAAGAGCCCCGUGAGCCUGCCACCCUUCAGAAAUCUUUGCUGAUUUCCUUUUGCCUCGAGGAUAAAAUACAAAAUCUUCAGUCUGACAUUUGAGCUCUUCAUAAUCAAAUUCCCAGCUACCUUUCUAGUGUUAUUUCACAUUACUCAUCUUUACUCAUUCUUCAUUCUAGUCAAACUAGCUUGGUUGCUGCUUCUCUCUGCAAAUGACAUUCCACCUCCUAGAAUCCCUAGUUUCCUUUAGAGCAUGAUUCAGGUUCUCCCACCUAUAUGAAGCCUUCCCUGAUCUCUCUCGUUAUGGUCACGUUUGAAAUCAUAUUCUAUGAAUUUUUUUUUAUUUGCCUUAUUUAACAUAAAGAACUGCUAGGACCAAUGGGGUGGGACAAUUUCUUCCACUAAGGAACCUCUUUAUUUUUGUCUCUUCCAGGCCUGGGUCAUGAAGAGGGAUCAGGCUCCUUUUAUCCUCCAGCUCCUUGGCUCAUUAAGACUCCUCAUUCUGGUCAGCCAAGGGUUGAUGCAAAGAGAAGUGCAUGAAUAAAAGGGGACUCCUUCCAAGUAACACCUUCAGACCAACCCAGUGAGCUCACAGACUUGAGACAAUGCACAGGAAAAACAACGCAGCCCUCUUAGCCUGGAGAAUUCUCCCAUCAUGCCUGUAAUUACCCUUGGUUUCAAAGAGAUGAAGACAACCUUGCGAAAUAGGUGCUUAAAGUAGAUAGAAUACAGUUCCUGGAAGCAGGGAAACAUCUUCCUGAAUUCAAAUUCUGCCUGAGAUACUUACUAGCUAUGGGAUCCUGGACAGUUUCCUUAUCUGCAAAGUGAUCUGAAGAAGGAAAUGGCAAAUCACUCCAAUAUCUUGCCAAGAAAACCUCAAAUGAAGUCACAAAGAAACAAAUACAACUGAAAGGUGACCGAACAAAAACAACAAUAAGAAAUGUUAGUUCUUAAUGUAACAUGUAAAAUGAGACACAUGUUUUUGCACCAACAUGGAAAUUCAUUUUUUAAAACUAUGCUUAUUUGUUUCAAGAGUUUUAUUUUUCUCUUGGAAGAAGGAGAGAUGGGGUUGAGAGGAAUAAAUACUUAGCACAUGCCUGGCACAUAGUAGGAACUUAAUAUAUGACUAACAGAAUAACAUUUAAAAUUUUUUUAUAUUUAUAUUUAAUAUUUUUAUUUUCCCCAGUUACAUGUAAAACAAUUUUUUACAUUUGUUUUUAAAACUUUGAGUUCCAGAUUCUUUUUCUUCUUUCCCACCCCCCACAUGUGGAGUUUUGCAAAAUAUUUCCAUAAAAAUCAUGCUGUGAAAGAAAACAUAGACCCUGCCCCCCCCCCCAAAAAAAAAACCCUCAAGAAAAAGAGCGUGCUUCAAUCUGUAUUCAGACACAAUCAGUUUUUUCUCUGGGUCUGGAUAGAAUUUUUCAUCAUAAAUCCUUCAGAAUAGUCAUGGAUUAUUGUAUUGCUGAGAAUAGCAAAAUCAUUCACUGCUGGUCAUCCCACAACAUUGCUAUUACUUUGUACAUAGAACACUUCAUUUUUCCUGAGUUUAUGGAUGACUUUUCAGGUUUCUGAAUAGCAAUUUUUAAAAAAUUCAUUUUGAAAAAAGAGAAUUAUCCCUACUUUUACUCCUCAAUAUAAUGACCAGGGAGAAAAUUGUAUUCAAGGAAAGGGUGUAUAUCAGAAAAGUUUGAAAAACAUGACUUGAUCUAUCCCUAUCAUUUUUACAGAGGAGGCCACGGAAGUCCAGAAAAUGAAUUCUAAGUAAUGUCCAAACAAAUAGACGAGCUAGGGUUUGCACGUAACUCUCUGGCUCCCAAGUCUUGGAUUCCUUCCACUACCCACUUGAAACCUCAUUCCUCUUCUUCCUCCUCCUCCUCCUCUCUGCUUUUACUUCUCUCCUCCCUCCCUUCUCCUUCCAUUUGACCUCCAUAGCAAAGGGUAGGGCAGACGAGGUGCCUGAUCAGCCCCUGAGUCACCGGGCAGCAUCCCUGUGUCAUCCCUGUUACGAGCACGUGUCCACCUCCUCGGGAGAAGCUCUUCAGAUGGAGAACCACAUCCUUGUUGACUGGGGGAUUCAUCCAUUUGAUCAGGGGCUCACCGUCAUUGCCACUGUGCAUUAGACUUAGAGCCCCGUGACUGACCUCAUGAUCACAGGACUGCCUCCCACAGGAAGGAGAGAUGAGAUUGAGAAGAACAGAUACUUAGCACAGUGCCUGGCACAUAGUGUGAGCUCAAUAAAAGCAAUCGACUAAAUGAAAAAUGAUAUUCCACAUGACGCGUGGCACAUGACAUGCAACAUAUAUGUGACAUACAAAUAUCACAUACACUGCAAGUAUAUGAAAUCUGUAACACAUGAUAUGAGGUAUGCUAUAUAUGUGAUGUGUGAUACACAUAUGAUAUGCAAAAUCUAUGUAUACAAGAAAUAUAGAUGAUAGAUAUUAUACCCACAUAUGAGAUAUGGAACACGAUAUACAUAUGUGAUAUGUGAUAUAUUAUUUGUAAGCAAUGUGUG